CCCGCUGAACUUAAGCAUAUCAAUAAGCGCAGGAAAAGAAACCAACAGGGAUUGCCUCAGUAACGGCGAGUGAAGCGGCAACAGCUCAAAUUUGAAAUCUGGCCUCUUGGGGUCCGAGUUGUAAUUUGUAGAGGAUGUUUUGGGUACCGCCCCGGUUUAAAUUUCUUGGAACAGAAUGUCAAAGAGGGUGAGAAUCCCGUCUUGGACCGGCGGUAGGGCCUGUGUAAAACUCCUUCGACGAGUCGAGUUGUUUGGGAAUGCAGCUCAAAAUGGGUGGUAAAUUUCAUCUAAAGCUAAAUAUUGGCCAGAGACCGAUAGCGCACAAGUAGAGUGAUCGAAAGAUGAAAAGCACUUUGAAAAGAGAGUUAAACAGUAUGUGAAAUUGUUGAAAGGGAAGCGCUUGCAACCAGACUUGAGCUCGGCGGUUCCCCCAGCCUUUUGGCUGGGCUAUUCCGUCGUGUCCAGGCCAACAUCGGUUCUGAGGGUCGGUCAAAGGCUCUGGGAAUGUAUCUACCCACGGGUAGACUUAUAGACCAGGGUGUCAUGCGGCCUCUCGGGACCGAGGAACGCGCUUCGGCUCGGAUGUUGGCGUAAUGGUUGUCAGCGACCCGUCUUGAAACACGG
RNAcentral lists this ribosomal RNA (624 nucleotides) under uncultured fungus. RNAcentral describes it as "eukaryotic LSU rRNA". It matches the Rfam family "Eukaryotic large subunit ribosomal RNA", at positions 24 to 664 of the family's 3401-position model. The record is from RNAcentral. Lineage: Eukaryota; Fungi.